GACAACGGCAACCGGAAACCGGUGCCAUCUUGGAGUUGGCUUCCCACACAGGGGACCCUCUGACUGAACCAUACAAAGCAAGAGAAAUUUAUUGUUCCAGCGCUCUGGGGUCGCCCUGCACCCAAAGGAGAGGCAGCGACUCCAGGCAGGCCUAUGUCACCUGCCUUGAAGAUUCUCUUCGGCCGGGGCUGGAGGACCUGAGUUUAAGUUCCCUGAAUUCAACUGAGAACACGGAUACAUCCUUCUGAUCACAUCCCAUUCGAUGGAAUAAGCUAGCAUAAUCUAUCCAUAGCUACAGACUUCAAAGACUACAAGGAUACAGGCGUUGUCAUCCUGCCUCCUCAGUCCAGCUAAUAUUUAAACUAGAAAAGAAGGAGUUGGUUCGUGUGAUUCUGAAGGAAUCUGUUCCAAGAUCUGCAGGGCAAGUUGGCUGAAAAGACGCCGGAGAGCCAAUGGUACCUUCCUGCUCUGAAGAAAGGCAUGCUCAAGGAGACACAGCCAAUGCUUUCGUCUGAAUCCAAAGGCAGGAGAAAGUUGAUAUCGUAGUACACGGAUGAUGUCAUGAGUCGUCUCACAUAGGGAGUCAGUCUCAACCAUUUUAUUCUCUCCAAAUAGUCAACAGAUUAGGCAAAUCCUACCCAUGCUAAUAAUAGCAUUAGUAAUCAUUAUAAGUCACCUACAAAAAGGGGGUUCUUCCUUAACUAGUAUGCAGAUUUGCAUAUGACUCUCAUGUUUAUAAAAACUAUUCUUGAGGAUACACCCCAAAUAAUGUUUGACCAAGUAGCUAAAUACAUGCACCCCAAGCAAGUGGGCACUAAUGAUCAGAUCUAGAAACCUAAGAUAAAAAAAAAAAUGGAAGUGUCAAAUAUUUUUCCAACACUAAGCAAGAGCAUGGAAGAGCAGAUUUUCUGACAUCUGUGGUUCAUAGAAGCCCUUGUAUGACCUUUAUAUUACUUUAUUCUCUCAGAUCAACAAAGUAAGACCAUUUGGUCAUGUUCUAUAGACAUGAAAAAAAAAAAAAAAAAAAACCAGCAACGGUCUCUUCAGACAGUCUUAAUAAUCACUGAAACUUGCCCAAAGAUCAAAUGAGAAAUUAACUUAAAUGAAAGCAAUUCUAAUGAGAAAAGCAUACGUCACUACCCAGGUAGAAAUUUACUAAUGAAGCAAUCAACUGCUAUCAGACAAGGUGUGUGAUAUAUUACACAUAGUAUAUUCAAUAUCUAUGUAUGCCUCCAUCACCACUAAAUAUAGGCACUACUUUUUCAGGACAACACAGAAGAGAAAAUUAGGAUAAAAAAUGUUAAGAUGUGUUUUCUCAAGAUUAAGGCAAUUGUCAGACCAAUGGCAAUAUUGUUUACAUAAAACCAAAAUAUAACUGACUCUUUCAUAGUAAAUAGUAACUCAGUAUCAUAUAUGACUUGGAACUCCAAGGUAAGCUGACUCUGUUUUCAACAUAAUUUGCCCAACAAAGAUUUGCUGCACCAAGCCACCUACUUAGUGGCUUCCAAAGAAACUCAGGGAUGGAUGAGAUUUUGGUCUUAAACAUAAGAGGAACUUCAUUCCAUAAUCAGCUGGCAUGGGUGAGCCACAGGGUUCCUAGCCAUGGCAACUGCUGACAUCUGAAGCUGGUAAUUCUUUGUUGUAAGAGUCUGUAUUACAUACUAUAGGGAAUUUAGCAGAAGUAUCUCUGAUCUCAAUUCACUAGGCACCCGUAACAACUAAGUGGAACCAUAAAUGUCUCAAGACAUGGUAAAUUUUUCCUGGGAAUGAAAACCCUUCCAGUGUGAGAUCCCUGGCACUGGAUGAAAUUGUGACAGAGAACAUAAACUUUUGGCUGCAAAUCUGUUAGAUUUUUGAUUGGUUGGAUUCAUUGUUGUUCGUUUGAUAUUAUACCUGUGCUACCUCUUAAUGGGCGAAGGAUUUUUCCAUUUUCCUUAAAUAAUUAGAUUACAGAAGCUUCACCAUUGGUUUUAGAGGAAA
Molecule: long non-coding RNA, 1980 nt
Filed under: Mus musculus (house mouse)
Lineage: Eukaryota; Metazoa; Chordata; Mammalia; Rodentia; Muridae
Description: predicted gene, 34297
Source: RNAcentral